AGUGAACGCUGGCGGUAGGCCUAACACAUGCAAGUCGAACGGCAGCACAGUAAGAGCUUGCUCUUACGGGUGGCGAGUGGCGGACGGGCGAGGAAUACAUCGGAAUCUACUUUUUCGUGGGGGAUAACGUAGGGAAACUUACGCUAAUACCGCAUACGACCUACGGGUGAAAGCAGGGGACCUUCGGACCUUGCGCGAUUGAAUGAGCGGAUGUCGGAUUAGCUAGUUGGCGGGGUAAAGGCCCACCAAGGCGACGACCCGUAGCUGGUCUGAGAGGAUGAUCAGCCACACUGGAACUGAGACACGGUCCAGACUCCUACGGGAGGCAGCAGUGGGGAAUAUUGGACAAUGGGCGCGAGCCUGAUCCAGCCAUACCGCGUGAGUGAAGAAGGCCUUCGGGUUGUAAAGCCCUUUUGUUGGGAAAGAAAAGCAGCAGGUUAAUACCCCGCUGUUCUGACGGUACCCAAAGAAUAAGCACCGGCUAACUUCGUG
Molecule: ribosomal RNA, 492 nt
Filed under: uncultured bacterium
Lineage: Bacteria
Description: partial 16S ribosomal RNA
Rfam family: Bacterial small subunit ribosomal RNA
Source: RNAcentral